AACGCGAAGAACCUUACCUGGGCUCGAACGGCUCACGAACGUCUUUGGAAACAGAGAUUUCCCGCAAGGGACGGGAGUCGAGGUGCUGCAUGGCUGUCGUCAGCUCGUGUCGUGAGAUGUUGGGUUAAGUCCCGCAACGAGCGCAACCCUUGUCCUGUGUUACCAUGCCGAAAGGCGGCACUCGCAGGAGACCGCCAGCGAUAAGCUGGAGGAAGGUGGGGAUGACGUCAAGUCCUCAUGGCCUUUAUGUCCAGGGCUACACACGUGCUACAAUGGGCGGUACAAAGCGCUGCUAAGCCGCAAGGCGGAGCCAAUCGCAAAAAGCCGCUCUCAGUUCGGAUUGCAGGCUGCAACUCGCCUGCAUGAAGCUGGAAUCGCUAGUAAUGCUAUAUCAGAACGAUAGCGUGAAUACGUUCCCGGGCCUUGUA
This 428-nucleotide ribosomal RNA is filed under the name uncultured Acidobacterium sp. Its description in RNAcentral is "bacterial SSU rRNA". It matches the Rfam family "Bacterial small subunit ribosomal RNA", at positions 958 to 1385 of the family's 1533-position model. The record is from RNAcentral. Lineage: Bacteria; Pseudomonadati; Acidobacteriota; Terriglobia; Terriglobales; Acidobacteriaceae.